This 74-nucleotide transfer RNA is filed under the name Patescibacteria group bacterium. Its description in RNAcentral is "tRNA-Arg". It matches the Rfam family "tRNA". Rfam says of the family: Transfer RNA (tRNA) molecules are approximately 80 nucleotides in length. Their secondary structure includes four short double-helical elements and three loops (D, anti-codon, and T loops). The record is from RNAcentral.
GCGCCUAUAGCUCAAUCGGAUAGAGCGUCACGCUUCGGACGUGAAGGUUGCGGGUUCGAGUCCUGCUAGGCGCU